CCUGCUGCAGUAAAGCCCCUCACAAGGGCGUAAGUGAGCUGGCCUGCUCCGAUAAAUCCAACGCUCAUGAUUAUUAUUGGAGUACGGUAUGUA
This is a long non-coding RNA of Nanorana parkeri, 93 nucleotides long. RefSeq lists it as uncharacterized. The record is from RefSeq and is a predicted model, not a curated record. The transcript is spliced from 3 exons. Lineage: Eukaryota; Metazoa; Chordata; Amphibia; Anura; Dicroglossidae.